CUGGUUAUAAGCUUCUGAACAAUGAUAAGGAUGGUGCCAUUUGACAUUCGGUUAAGGGAUGGAGCAGGAAGGCUUGAGAUACACAACCCAUAUCUUUAAGGCACUUUCCAUCUGGUAGAGAAACGGAAAUGUAUGCACAUAGCGGCACAUGCGAUGGCAACAGAACCCAGGGCCUGUACCAGGCCUACUAAAGAGUGAGCUGAUGCGGCUGAGAGUUUUGGAAUGUGAGGCUGGGAUGACAAGCCUGGGGCCUGGCUCUUCUGUGCUCAGUGAGGACUGCUCCAGCCUCAGCCCCAACUCCCAGCAAAGCCCAGGUGUGGGGAGCAGGGGAGGUAAGACAGAGAUGAGGAGGGACAGAAAUGUGGUUUCACACCUGACCCAGCAAUUCCUGCAGCUGGGAAGCAUGGCGACUCAGAAUGCCGAUGCCUGCCAGAGGCUUCGGCUUCUUGUCCUGCGUUUUGGAGACCAUAUCUGGAGAGGCACAGUGUGAGGGGCAUGGGGAGGCAGGAGUAGGACUGCAGCAGAAAGGGGUUUUGCAACCAGCCUCUGGCUGGUCAGCACAGGAGUGUCAGGUUCUUUACUGUGGGGCUGCUGGGGAUGAGAGAGGCAGGAAGAACCCCUGUGAAGAACAGUGAGAAGGGUAGGGGCCAGGGGCCUGCAGGGUGAUGGCAGGCUUUGAAGUGUGUGAAACGCUGCCACAGCUGAGGCCCAGCUAUACCCAGGAGGGAGCAAGCAGCCUGAUGCCUGAGCUGGCCUGGCCCAUUCACCUCUUGUGGCCCAACCUGAGAACCUUCUUACUGUGGGUGAGCUGGGCCUUGUCUAGCCCCUGCCUCUGCACCCCCAUCACUGGCCUCAAAAGCACAGGUUCUCUCUUUUCCUGCACGGUGGGGAGGCAGAGAGUGGUGCAGGCUGGGUGUGCGGGUCUGUGUGUCAGGGGGUUAUUGGUGAGAAUCUGGGGAGAGGCGCCUGGAUAGCUCUGAUUCUACCCACCUAGGAGGUCUGAGACCCUCCCAACUCCUCCCCGACUCCCAGCCUCAGUGUUGUUGCUGAAACCCUCUUGAGCUGAUGGUGCCUACGUGGGGUCAAAUGCAUUCUUCUCACCAGCCUUGGCCCCAGCGUGUCAUGUAACCUUGUGUUAGUCACUCAACCUCUUUGGCCUUGUGCUUCCGUGUCUGUAAAAUGAGAAGUUGCCUCCGUCCACACCUUUGCCCCUCCCCACCGCCAACCCACACUUGCCCCAGACAGAGCUGGCAACAAAAGCAGACUGCGGAGUGGGAGGGACUGCCAUGGCAUGGACCUGGAAGGAGGAGAGAGGCAAUGCCUGCGGCCAGACCUUCGCUCCCCUCAGAGCAGCCCUGAAAAUAUUCCCGGCUGGUCUUUGCCUCUCCACGGUCACAGCAGCCUCGUGAUGAAGUUGGCAGGGGGAAUUCUACAGAGAGGACAGAACUUCCUUCCAUCUUCUCCUGCCCCUAGCUGCUGCCUGGGAUCCACUCAUCCCCUUCUUCUCUCCUUGGCCUCACUCUGCAGUGGGGGGGACUCACUGACUCCAGGGUUCAGCCACUGUCCGCAUGCUAAUGAGCUAAGGAGUCCCAAACCUCCACCACCAGCCCAGCACUCAACCUCAUGGGCCCCAGUGCUGGGCCCCAGGGCGGGAAGGGAUGUGGUCUUCCCCCUGAACACAGUGCAUGGUGCCUCCUGGGGCUGCACAGGGAGGAGGCCUUGCCCGGACCUCUCUCCUGGGAACCAGGAACCUCUGGCCAACUGCCUACAGGACAUCUCCACCUGGAUGUCCUACAGGCCCUCAAACUCAACCUGACACCCGCCCAAGCACCUCAGCUCCUUUCCCUUUUCAUAAUGGGAUCAUUCUCCCAGGGACUCAGUCUUCACACCUUUGCCCUUUUUGAUGCCCCUUCUGCCUUUCUCUCACUUCUACUGUCUUCCCAAGUCCUGUCGGUCCUGUCCCAUGCUGUCCCUUUUCUCCAUCUUUUCUGCCCCUGGAUCACUUGUCUUAUUUUCUAGUGAUCAAACAUGUUUACAGCAUGUGUUAGAUGGUUGGCUCUGCUCUAAGUGCCUUACAAAUCCUAACUCUCCUCAUUCUCACAACCUUCAGUUUACAGAGGAUGAAACUGAGGCACAGAGAAGUCAAGCAUCUUGUGUAGGGCCAGGAUUGGGACCCACGCAGCCUGCUCCAGAGCCGGGCUCUGACCCCCCACAAGAGCCAUCACUAAAGUUCCACUUACCGCUGCACCUUCAAUCUCUUCCUCUCUCCAUCCCUCCCACAUGUUCACAGACAAAAUCUUCUUCCUUAUUUAAUAAAACAAUAUAAUGACCAGCCUGGCAAA
Molecule: long non-coding RNA, 2342 nt
Organism: Gorilla gorilla gorilla (western lowland gorilla)
Lineage: Eukaryota; Metazoa; Chordata; Mammalia; Primates; Hominidae
Exons: 3
Source: RefSeq, a predicted model, not a curated record